Molecule: ribosomal RNA, 408 nt
Filed under: uncultured bacterium
Lineage: Bacteria
Description: partial 16S ribosomal RNA
Rfam family: Bacterial small subunit ribosomal RNA
Source: RNAcentral
GACGAACGCUGGCGGCGUGCUUAACACAUGCAAGUCGAACGAAGUGGCGAACGGGUGAGUAACGCGUAAUCAACCUGCCCUUCAGAGGGGGACAACAGUUGGAAACGACUGCUAACACCGCAUACUGAAGUAGGGGAUUGCGUCUGAUUAGCUAGUUGGAGGGGUAACGGCCCACCAAGGCGAUGAUCAGUAGCCGGUCUGUGAGGAUGAGCGGCCACAGUGGGACUGAGGAAAGGACCAGACUCAUUCAGGAGGCAGCAGUGGGGAGUCUUCCGCAAUGGACGAAAGUCUGACGGAGCAACGCCGCGUGAGUGAUGACGGCCUUCGAGUUGUAAAGAUAUGUUAGUCGGGACGCGGUACCGGGAUAGAAAGCCACGGCUAACUACGUGCCAGCAGCCGCGGUAAUAC